AAAAGGGUCUGCCUCAAAAUUUUAGGGUCUACAGAGAGGGAGAGAGAGCAAAAGAUGGGAUCAAAAAGAGAAGACUAAUUCUCAUCCUUAGCACCUCGAUCCCACCUGAAAUCCCUUGGUAAGAGAGGCAGCCAAUGAGAAGGCGGAGAUUAGGAUGAUCAUUACAAACCCAACCAAUUAAAAACCAGAUAAGGCACUGUUGUGGUCCCCAAAGUGCAGUACCUUUCUCUGGUGGAAAACUCUGAAAUCUCAAAAGUGCAUCCAAAGAAAAGAGAGAAAGACCCAUCUAGACUGCAAAAGCGCGGUUUGUGGGUCACACCUUCUAUAAACACUGCUCCUACUCUUAUCAUUGUGCCAUUCUUGUCUUCAGGUCGGAAAGGACUGAAGAAACAGUGAAACACAAACCCCCACCCCCACCUCUCAAGGACCCAAUAAUUUAUGUCAAUCAAGGUGCUUGCUUCAUCUUUUCUUUGCCUUGAUUUUUCGUUUUCGCUUCCUGUUUUGGGCCUUUUGGCUUCCGAUUGAUCUCUUUUCUUCAAUCAAACCAUAUCCCGGCCUCAAUGAUUUCAAAAAAAAAUGUGGCCAACGCCGUUGGGGGCAAAACGGCUAGAGCCUGUGACAGUUGUAUAAGAAAGCGGGCUAGAUGGUACUGUGCAGCCGAUGAUGCAUUUCUUUGCCAAGUUUGUGAUUCCUCAGUGCACUCCGCUAACCAUUUAGCUCACAGACACAAAAGGGUUCGUUUAAAGACUGCUUCUCUUAAAUCUUUGGACCUUGUUCCCAAGGAGAAUUGUGCGCCAUCAUGGCACCGAGGGUUCACAAGAAAGGCCAGGACACCGCGACAUGGAAAGCCUGUGUCUCAUUCAAAAAUCGAAAAAAAAUUAAGGAAUCCUAUUCCUCUUGUUCCUGAAGUGGGUUCAGACGAGAUAUCUCAUGGAGAGAACGAAGAGGAGCAGCUACUGUACAGGGUUCCAGUCUUCGACCCAUUUGUUGCUCAGCUAUGCAAUUCAGCAACCAUCUCAAAUAAUGAAGCAGAAACGACUACUGCUGCUGAUAAUGAUUCUGAUCAGACAGUUGCUGACGCUAACGGAAUCGAAUCGAAGGCUUCGUUAGGUGCCGGAGGAAAGGAAUUUGAGAGUCUACAUGGUUUUCUCCCAUCCGAUAUGGAUCUUGCAGAGUUUGCGGCGGAUGUGGAGAGCUUGCUCGGUAGGGGUCUUGAAAAUGAGUCUGUUGGGAUGGAAGAACUGGGGAUUGUGGGUUGUAAAGAACAGAAGGAGUUGCAGAGAGAAUAUUAUGUAGGAAGGGGAAUGGUGAAGCUUGAAGACGAACGGGAAGGGAUAGAAAAGGAAGAAGAAGCUGUAAGGGACUGCUAUGUCGAUACUGAUGAGACUGAAAUGGCAAGAGAACCGCCUUUUGAGUUGACCUUUGACUACGAUUCUGCAACAUGUGGAGAGGAAGAUGAAAAGGUAGGGACUGGAGAGAGAGACUUAAAGAACAAUGAAGAAUACGAAGAUGAUGGUGAAAACUUGAAGAAGAAAAAGAAGAAGAGAAAGAUACUACUAAAGUUAGAUUAUGAGGCAGUUAUAACAGCUUGGGCAAGCCAAGGGUCUCCUUGGACCACAGGCAACCGGCCAGACAUCGACCCCGACGAAUGUUGGCCGGAGUACUGCAUGGGUAUUUGUGGAGCUGAACUUCACCACCAUGGUUAUGGAGAUCAUACAACCGGUGUAGGGGUACAGCACCCUACAAUGGCAGACGGAGGUAGAGAAGCAAGAGUGUCGAGGUACAGAGAGAAGCGGAGAACAAGGUUGUUCUCCAAGAAAAUAAGAUACGAGGUGAGGAAAUUGAAUGCGGAGAAAAGGCCCAGAAUGAAAGGUAGAUUUGUGAAGAAGGCAAGUUUUGCAGGUCCUUGAUAUGCCAAACGAGUACUUCUCAUUAUAAAUUUGCCUGUACAGAGUAGAAAAAUUGGACUGGAAUUAAUGUAUUAGUGAGGUCUGUGAAAUAAGCAAAUAAAUAAAAAAAUUUUCAUCUCUUCCUGCUCUCCUUUUCACUUCAAGGAACUUAAUUAUAUAUAUAUGGAGGCCAUAGUGCAGCAUCAUGAAAUCAGAGAUUAGCAUCAUGGAAUCAGAGAUUACACGCAGGGCAGGAACGGAGGCAAUUAUCCCCCAUUAAAGUUGUUCGUUUAGUAGCAACAAGCUUUGGGAGUUGUAUUGAAGUGGUUUAGUAUAUGUGAGGUACCAAUUUCAAAUUUACCCCUCAAAUUUCUCAAAAAAAUAAUUGCUUUUAGUUUUGUAAUAUUUUAAAUUACAAAAAAUUAUAUAAUAUUAUCUGUUUUAUCUUGAAA
RNAcentral lists this unclassified non-coding RNA (2341 nucleotides) under Hevea brasiliensis (rubber tree). The record is from RNAcentral. Lineage: Eukaryota; Viridiplantae; Streptophyta; Magnoliopsida; Malpighiales; Euphorbiaceae.